AUACCAUCGUCUGCCCAGUUGCAGUCACCAAAACAAACAUUUAAUUGCAAAAAGUAAGCAUCUACCUAGAGUCUUGAGGCUGCCUUUGCCAAACGAAGAGGUACCAAGCAGCCACGUGUAUCUUUUUCCCUCAGUUUUCUAGAGAUAGCCUUAGAGGGCUCAAAAACGCUAAAAGAUGUGUCCACGUCUGCAACUCACCAGUUUCAGGUCACGGCCAACUUCCAUCAAUAUAGCUCUCAGAAGUUUUCUGCCACUAGAAUGCCAUUCCUGAUCCCAGCUCUCUUUAUAGGCCACCAUGAUAACUUCUUUGGUUUCUCCACUGAGCAUGCAACCAUUUACCUUAGAGGACUGUCAUUAAUGAGUAGAUGUUUUCUCUAGUUGUGUGACGUGCUUUCCAUUUGAUAGUAUUGCUGUGGCUGAGUACAAUCAAAUUGAACCACAAACCACUGGUUUUGUAGUAAUACAAUUAUUUAUUUUCCCAGUAUAGAUGCUUCCGGAUUAGCAUUAGCACUGAUUUUUUAUGUAGAUUUAUAUAAAUAUAAAUACAUAUAUAUUUGCUUGAUGAAUCACCAAGCACCUUGGUGAGAGGGUCUUUUCCUAUAGAAUUCACUCAUCCAUUUUGUUGUGUCGUCCUGCUCUUCCCAAUGUUGAGGUCUCUAUGGCUCCAAAGAACUGGUGUAUUUUGCAGCAAAUCCAAUGACAUAUAGGGAAAUGGCAUGAAAGUCACCCAGAUCACAUCUGGUGCAAAUGCACCUGGAGCCUUGGGCCAGAUUGGUGCUAACACUGCAAACUUUGUCCGGAGCUCUCUCCAAUCUGAAGGCUCGCUGGGGGCACAGUGUCACCUUCACAUGCUGGGCCCUUUCGGAAAAGUGCCAGAUCGUGUCACUGGUGCUAUUUUUCAUGCUCUGGUACAAUGUGUAGCACCAUGGGGGUCUCAGCUUUACCAAAACCGAAAUCCCACCUGUCAGCCAAUUAUUGCUGAGGCAUUUGCAUAUUGCUCUUUUCCAUGAGAUAGGAUGGCCUAUUCUUUGAAGGCCCUUUCUCCCAGACCCAAAUUCAGGGGUUGGCUCUAUCCACUUUGCAAACCCAUCUAGAUGAAGCUACACUCGGGUGCCUCUGUGAGCUGUCUUAGACCCUACUGCCAGCCCUUCAGGACAGAGUCAACGGAUGCUCUGUACACCUCUGGUUCUCAUCUCUUUCUCCUCCUCAGUUUUCCUCCUCAUCUCCUCUCAUCAUCUGCCAUUUUGACCUUCUCUUUUUAUCCUUCCUGGGUUGUUGAACUUGCCCCUCCCUCUCUUUCCUCUGUCUGUCUUUUUCUGUCCCUCUCUCCUUUCUCCAUCUCCUGUUCCCCUUACUCCUCCUCCUCCCAGACAUGCCCUCCCUCCCUCCUCUCUCAUCUCACACAGUUCUGGUCAUCAGUACAUCCGGCUCCUUAGUUUUCCUGUCCUAUAAAGGGCACACGGCUGAUUCAGACAGCAAGUCCACACAGUGGACUAAUGACAUAAAUACUUGGGGUCACCAUUUAUUUACUCAGCCCAGAAAACAAAGCUGAGUGUGAGGCCCUCACCUGGAGCCAGUCUGCACCACUGCCCCAGCAGUGCUGAUGCAGGAGCUGUGGGCCCCGGCACCUAACUCACUCCCAGCACCGCCCAGGCUGAGGAUGCUUCCUUUCCACAGAGGCAAACUCUGGCCCCAACAACUAUUCUAAUGAACCUCAUUGAAGCCAUGACACCGCCCUGGUUUGGAGAGAGAUUUUUCCCUCUAUAUUCUUUUUCCCGUUUCCAUGUGAAGCCCCUCUGCUUUUCAGCUGGCGAUUGCUCUGGUGAGACUGAAUGGACUUGCUAGCGAAAUGACAUCUUUUUUUUUUUUCCUGUCUUGGUCCUGCCUAAAAUUCCUACAAAAGAAAAAAAAAGCAUUUAAGUCAAGGACUAAGGCUAAAUUUAUUAUACUAAUGAGUCACUCCUGGGGAGACAUCAGUUCCCUUAAAGCAUGUGGAGUACCUCCUGUGACAACUGAUUUUCCAGGAAACUCCAUAGAGAAUUCUGUGGAUAUGCAUUAAUUAUUUAAGGGUAUGGUAUACGUGGUAUGCAUACCACGUAUACACAUUACCUGAGGUAAGAUUCAAUGUGGUUGGAAACACAUACACACUUCAGUCUGUAAAUAUUCUUCCUCACUGAAACCUGUGCUUCAGAAACCAUUUCUCGUACAGCUGUGCAGUUUAUUGUAGCAGCUGGAGACAAGCUAAGGCAGGCAGUGAAUUUAGACUAAGAUCAGCUGAAAGAGUAGUUUCUCCCUUGCAGCUCACAAGGACAGACAGCUAAGUGGCGAGGUUGACUCCCAAUGGGAUGGCGAACUUUUCUUCUUUUCAAAUUUGUGUUUCCUAAGUGUAUCUUAACUUCUGAGUGCACCAGGUUGUACCCAUUAGAUCCUUUUACUAUGACAAUUUUGUGCUUCUCUCUGACAGGAUGCUUCUCCAUCAAGCUGUAAUGCAGGAUGGGAGGGGAGGGAAGGAGGGAGGGGGAAUUACUCCUUGCCUGGCUGGAGUUUACAGAGACACUGCACAGCUUACACUCCUGUUAAGUGUAAAUAUUCAACACUUCCAUUCCAUUUGUGUAAAAAAUAAAGCACACACGAUUAUAAAAUCAAGAUGUAUAUUUCAUACUCCGUGUGUCCAUGAAUAUUUUUUGCGUUUCCAGAUGUUGGUUGAGGCCGCAUUGUAAAAAUGCCUGAUAGAGUGUUUAUUAUAAACAUGCCGUGGUUUUCUUAUAUAAAUAUUAAAACAAUUUCUACUUUAUAGCAAAAUUAUAUUCUCCA
Molecule: long non-coding RNA, 2814 nt
Filed under: Rattus norvegicus (Norway rat)
Lineage: Eukaryota; Metazoa; Chordata; Mammalia; Rodentia; Muridae
Description: long non-coding RNA NONRATT000954
Source: RNAcentral